This 1056-nucleotide long non-coding RNA is filed under the name Capsicum annuum. RNAcentral's name for it is "long non-coding RNA (CANN_LNC011536)". Lineage: Eukaryota; Viridiplantae; Streptophyta; Magnoliopsida; Solanales; Solanaceae. The record is from RNAcentral.
AAUUAAAUCGGAAGAACCAUUUUAUUGAACUUCAAACUGUUGCAUAAAUAGAAGUUACUCCAACUGAAACAGAAAAUGGACUGCUAAAAAGCUGCUAACAUGCCUGGAAAAUAGGAACAACUAUCACAUGUGAUCUCGAUAAUGACUAAAGAAAAACCUAAUUUCUUAAAAAUCUGCUGAAGACUUUGACUCCACUCCAACAUAUCCUGAGACGCGUACCAACAAGUUGACGCAAAGAGUGCAUAUUCUGAAGAGCAGACAGUUGACAAAUUGGAAAUAGAGUUGGAAGAGAAGGUUGAUGCACAUGGCAUUGAAACGGGUAGGACUACAGAUACCUCCAAUAUUGAUGGAAUUUCAGUACCUCCAAUUCCGAGAAGCAGUGAAAUUGUUCAUGAUGAAAUGGUGAGCGGAAUUGCAUUGAUUUUUAUAGCAUGUACUUGAAGUCCAGUUGAUAGAUUGCCAUCUAUAAGAUUCACUUAUUUGAUAAUCAUUUACUACUGCUGGGCAACUGAGUUCAGUUUUGUGUCUGGUCUGUCUGUCUCUCGUUCCUUUUCACAUUUGAGUUGAAGUUAGUUUCUGUAAAAGAAUUUGACUUGGACUCUAAUCAGCGACUUAAAAACUGGUUAAGACCCUUACAUUCCGACCAUUCGGAUAAGCAUGUUUCAUUUCUGUAAAUUUGUUAAAACAUAACAUUGAACUGGUUUUUAUCUAGAUCUAUCUUUGGCUGAAGUAGGUGCUGGAUAUUGUUAGUGGAUGAAACUGUUUUCUAGACAUGACUUGGAAAAAGAGACCAACUUCAACCCAGAUUUGUUUUGAACCCAAUCUAAUUUUGGUAAGUAUACACGAGAUUUAUGCCUUUUGAACUCCAAUGCAAAAGUUGUGCUGUGAAUUGACAUGGAGUUGGUGCUUUUCAACCUCCUCCAGGUAUAAGAUUGUCAAUAAGCUACCUCAAGUCCGCAAAUUAUUUAUAUAUAUUGAUGGUAGUUGCAAAGGUAGUGUGAGAAAAUUAUUACCGAAUUGUGUAUUUUACUAAUUACAUUGAGACCCUGUUCACAG